UGGGGAAUAUUGCACAAUGGGCGAAAGCCUGAUGCAGCGACGCCGCGUGAGGGAUGACGGCCUUCGGGUUGUAAACCUCUUUCAGCAGGGACGAAGCGCAAGUGACGGUACCUGCAGAAGAAGCACCGGCUAACUACGUGCCAGCAGCCGCGGUAAUACGUAGGGUGCAAGCGUUGUCCGGAAUUACUGGGCGUAAAGAGUUCGUAGGCGGUUUGUCGCGUCGUUUGUGAAAACCAGCAGCUCAACUGCUGGCUUGCAGGCGAUACGGGCAGACUUGAGUACUGCAGGGGAGACUGGAAUUCCUGGUGUAGCGGUGAAAUGCGCAGAUAUCAGGAGGAACACCGGUGGCGAAGGCGGGUCUCUGGGCAGUAACUGACGCUGAGGAACGAAAGCGUGGGUAGCGAAC
Molecule: ribosomal RNA, 406 nt
Filed under: Brucella melitensis
Lineage: Bacteria; Pseudomonadati; Pseudomonadota; Alphaproteobacteria; Hyphomicrobiales; Brucellaceae
Also listed under: 2 other names
Description: partial 16S ribosomal RNA
Rfam family: Bacterial small subunit ribosomal RNA
Source: RNAcentral